RNAcentral lists this ribosomal RNA (448 nucleotides) under uncultured bacterium. RNAcentral's name for it is "bacterial SSU rRNA". It matches the Rfam family "Bacterial small subunit ribosomal RNA", at positions 330 to 797 of the family's 1533-position model. The record is from RNAcentral.
GCCAGACUCCUACGGGAGGCAGCAGUGGGGAAUAUUGCACAAUGGGGGAAACCCUGAUGCAGCGACGCCGCGUGAGUGAAGAAGUAUUUCGGUAUGUAAAGCUCUAUCAGCAGGGAAGAAAAUGACGGUACCUGAUUAAGAAGCCCCGGCUAACUACGUGCCAGCAGCCGCGGUAAUACGUAGGGGGCAAGCGUUAUCCGGAUUUACUGGGUGUAAAGGGAGCGUAGACGGUGAUGCAAGUCAGAAGUGAAAGCCCGGGGCUCAACUCCGGGACUGCUUUUGAAACUGUGUGACUGGAGUGCAGGAGAGGUAAGCGGAAUUCCUAGUGUAGCGGUGAAAUGCGUAGAUAUUAGGAGGAACACCAGUGGCGAAGGCGGCUUACUGGACUGUAACUGACGUUGAGGCUCGAAAGCGUGGGGAGCAAACAGGAUUAGAUACCCUUGUACUA